Molecule: long non-coding RNA, 202 nt
Filed under: Citrus sinensis (sweet orange)
Lineage: Eukaryota; Viridiplantae; Streptophyta; Magnoliopsida; Sapindales; Rutaceae
Description: long non-coding RNA (CSIN_LNC005036)
Source: RNAcentral
AUAUAUAUAUAUUUCAAUGACAAAAUAACAUAAAAAGUGUUAGCUUGAACCAGCAAGCCAUUGAUUCAAGACCCCCAAAGAUCCAAUCUUAGACUUUAAAUCCCCAAAUCCAAAACAUGAUAGCCUUAAUUGAAGUGACCGAGGCCAGUUUAACCCAAACCAACAAGAAAUAAUCACAAAGGAGCAAUUAAUUAGAACAAAA